Molecule: ribosomal RNA, 494 nt
Filed under: uncultured cyanobacterium
Lineage: Bacteria; Bacillati; Cyanobacteriota
Description: bacterial SSU rRNA
Rfam family: Bacterial small subunit ribosomal RNA
Source: RNAcentral
UGAGGAAUUUUCCACAAUGGGCGAAAGCCUGAUGGAGCAAUACCGCGUGGAGGAAGAAGGUCUGUGGAUCGUAAACUCCUUUUCUCAGAGAAGAAGUUCUGACGGUAUCUGAGGAAUAAGCACUGGCUAACUAUGUGCCAGCAGCCGCGGUAAUACAUAGAGUGCAAGCGUUAUCCGGAAUAAUUGGGCGUAAAGCGUCUGUAGGUGGUUUAAAAAGUCUAAUGUCAAAUACGAUGGCUCAACCAACGGCAGGCAUUAGAGUACUAUUAAACUAGAGUUUGGUAGAGGUAGAGGGAAUCCCUAAGCGUAACAGUGAAAUGUGUAGAUUUUAGGGAGAACACCAGCGGCGAAGGCGCUCUACUGGGCCAAUACUGACACUGAGAGACGAAAGCUAAAGGGAGACGAAAAAGGAUUAGAUACCCUUGUAGUCUUAGCUGUAAACGAUGGAAACUAAGUGGGGGAGGGCCAUAAGCAGUUUCUGCUUAUGCAGCUAC